GAACUGUGGGAGCUCCAGGAGGAGGAUAGGAUCAGUAACAUGAAAGUUGAACGGGAGAAAGCUCUGGAGCACAAGAAGCGCAUGUCCAGGAUGAUGGAGGACAAAGAAAACUUCUUGUCCAAAAUAACUGCUGCCCGUAGCUUCAUUUAUGAGG
This is a non-coding RNA of Plectropomus leopardus (leopard coralgrouper), 154 nucleotides long. Lineage: Eukaryota; Metazoa; Chordata; Actinopteri; Perciformes; Serranidae. The record is from RefSeq and is a predicted model, not a curated record.